GGCAAAAGUAGCUCCUGUUAACACCGAAGCCUAAUUUUCUUGGAAUUUUCCAACGGUGCUUUUUCGCAUGAAAAGUAAAUGAAAACUCUGAAUCAUGGACAGUCCGAAUGAAAGUGAACAUGAGUCAGUUGCAAUCAUUGAUUUUUUAAAAUCAAGAGGGUUGAACAAAGACUCAUUGCAUAAAAUAAAAGAUGAAAAGAUAGACUUUGCAACAUUUAUCGAUUUAAGCGACGAGCAACUAAAAACAAUCAUUCCUGUGACUCUUGGUGACUUGCAAUGCUACAAAAAGAUUUUGUUCUGAUGCAUUAAAAAAAAAUAAACAAAAAGCAAGAUGUACAUCACUGAUCCAAAAAUGGAAGAGGAAAACAAAAGCCGCAAUGAAACUGAAAACGGACAAAUCUGACAGUACGACAGGGAGUGACGAUGAUGGCCAACCCGAUCGUCGACGUAUAAAAUUAGUUGGAAAUCAAAAUGCUUCAAAGAUGGAGAGGAAAAUAGAACUAGGAUGGUUUGAUUAUGAUUUAAGAGUAUGGAGUAUCAUCAGGUGAAAACAUUAAUCAAAGGAGGUGGUACAAGAGGUGUAAGUGCUCUUAAAACAUGGAAACCCAAGGAUAUUCUAGAACAUGGGAAAAAAAUCUUCUUUCCAAAAGGUGUUUCUA
This is a long non-coding RNA of Magallana angulata, 659 nucleotides long. RefSeq lists it as uncharacterized. The transcript is spliced from 3 exons. The record is from RefSeq and is a predicted model, not a curated record. NCBI's taxonomy places the organism in Eukaryota, Metazoa, Mollusca, Bivalvia, Ostreida, Ostreidae.